Papaver somniferum (opium poppy) is the source of this 1101-nucleotide long non-coding RNA. RefSeq lists it as uncharacterized. NCBI's taxonomy places the organism in Eukaryota, Viridiplantae, Streptophyta, Magnoliopsida, Ranunculales, Papaveraceae. The transcript has 6 exons. The record is from RefSeq and is a predicted model, not a curated record.
GCUUAAUGUAUUUAGUAAGCACUUCUUGACAAGAAAUCUUCAAUCAAAACCAAUUAUGCAGAGAAGGAAUCACAAUUUUAACUCUCACUGUUUGUGGAAAUGCCAGCAGAAAUGAGUCAAAUGUGUAUAAAGAGUUGUAGUUCAUUGCCACAGGGGUGUUUUCUCUUCUGUUAUUAUCAAUGACCAAAUAAAGGGUGGACGAAGUUAUGGAUGUUUCGACUUUCAACCAGUGAUGAAUUGGAUGUACCCACCUUCGGAGAUAAACCGGUGAUGGAAAUUGCAAAGCAGCAUGGAGGUUAUCAACUACAGGUGUCCCUUUUCAGCUUUUGGGUGUUGGUAAGUUCCCCAAUGCACAAUUUCUUUGAGUUCUUUUUCCCUUUUCCUCCAUACGUUUAUAAGUUCCAUGUAUGGUGCAGAAAUCUCUUCCUAUCAGUAAAGCAUUUAGUCUGAACUUGAGUUUUCAAGGCAGCUGUUAGCAUAUAUAGAUACUGACAGAGCAAGCUGAAGUCUCUACAUGAUAUGAUCACUUGAAUUACUGGGUGAAUAUCAAAGUUUUCGUUGGGUGUGGCACAUCAACUGAACUGUUGGGGUGGUCUCAGUCGCAUAAUCCAUCACUAGGAAAUUUGUUGGUUGUCAUUGUAGGAAUUAUUCUGGGAAUGUUCUUGGAAAUCUUUAAUUUCCCUCCUUACAAAGGAUUUUCAUGAAAGAUAAUGCCCAGUUUUAGAGUUCAAACUUCAUGAAUAGGGUAAAGAACAAAAGCUCAAGUGAUGCACACAGGGAGAAACUGAAAAUGCUAGAAAUGCUGUUGGAGCCAAAACAAACAUGAGCAAGAGAUCAAGCUUUGGUAAUACUUCUGUUGAUGACGCGGUCUGCACUACAGGUGAAACAGGGUGCAACAGCGAUGAAAUUCACAGCCUAUGAAACAGGGUGCAACUCAAUUAACAUGACUUGAGUUGAUAAAUUCACAUAUCUCCAGACUUACAACAACAAUUUGCGCACCUUAUAUGAUCAAGCAAACUUAACAGGCAGCUUAGCAUUGGCUCACAGCUCAGACAAUGGACUAAUGUUCACCCAAACCAAAAGACUAUACUCCCGGAGCGU